UAUAUAUUGACUGUGAAAGUAUUUUUCAGUCAUCAGUUGCUUGGUUGUCCCUUCCUCAGCCACUACUUUUCUAUAGUACCUUUAUGCUCCUCUCCAACAGAUUCAGCCCCUCCGGCAGUGUUGUCCCCUUGGCUGAGAGACACAGAGCCCGAAGUGAGUCUCCUGGGAGAGUGGAUGAGCCCAAGCAGCCAAGCUCCCAGGUAUGUUGUUGUGGGCUUACA
Molecule: long non-coding RNA, 221 nt
Filed under: Marmota monax (woodchuck)
Lineage: Eukaryota; Metazoa; Chordata; Mammalia; Rodentia; Sciuridae
Source: RNAcentral